This 21-nucleotide unclassified non-coding RNA is filed under the name Dictyostelium discoideum. Lineage: Eukaryota; Evosea; Eumycetozoa; Dictyosteliales; Dictyosteliaceae. The record is from RNAcentral.
UUUCGCUUCGUGUGGAAAGGU